AAGUCGUAACAAGGUUUCCGUAGGUGAACCUGCGGAAGGAUCAUUAGUGAUUGGCCUCUGGCCUCAUCAUAUCCUGACACCUCUGUGCACUGUUGGCCCUCGGGCCCUCACAAAACUUGGUGUAAUGAACGUCAUAAUACAUAACAUAACAAAACUUUCAACAACGGAUCUCUUGGCUCUC
Molecule: unclassified non-coding RNA, 181 nt
Filed under: air metagenome
Description: partial contains small subunit ribosomal RNA, internal transcribed spacer 1, and 5.8S ribosomal RNA
Rfam family: Eukaryotic small subunit ribosomal RNA (bases 1-46)
Source: RNAcentral